GACCUAAACACUUUCCAGAAGGACUCACUGUUCUCUUUGACCAAUAAGAUAAUGGGGGUCUCUCAAAGAAAACAUGGGGCAUUCUUAUAUUGGGGCUGAUGUGAGAUGCAUAUGUAGGCUGGCACUUAAAUUAAGGAUGGAUCUAACCCCAACACACUGUCAUUACCAGUUAAGAAUGCACACAUGGCUGCAAGAGAAGCUGGGAAGCAUAGUUUAUUUAUGUUGCAAGAUAUAAGAGGAAGCAACCAGGCAGCAGCAGUGGCAGACACUCACCCAAAUAAAAUGGUCCAGCAGUUAGCAGGUUCUUCAAGGCUGGCAAUAUUAUUUCCCCGGUUGUACCAGUAUCAGAAGAAUUUAGAGAAGCUAAGUCCUUUGCUCAAGCUUUAAAAGAUAAGCACAGAAAACCUCACAAAAGACUAUCCUCACAAAGUGCAAAAGAUAGAAGCCAAAAUAUACAAGAAAAAGUUAAACAAGAUAAGAAAUGUAAAAACAAAGCAAAAUGAGAUGAAAAGGCUGCAA
This 519-nucleotide long non-coding RNA is filed under the name Cricetulus griseus (Chinese hamster). RNAcentral's name for it is "lncRNA (ENSCGRG00015032870.1)". The record is from RNAcentral. Lineage: Eukaryota; Metazoa; Chordata; Mammalia; Rodentia; Cricetidae.